RNAcentral lists this ribosomal RNA (785 nucleotides) under uncultured archaeon. RNAcentral's name for it is "bacterial SSU rRNA". It matches the Rfam family "Archaeal small subunit ribosomal RNA", at positions 134 to 922 of the family's 1478-position model. The record is from RNAcentral.
GGGAAACUGAGGAUAAACCACGAUAGGUCAUCACUUCUGGAAUGGGUAAUGACUUAAAUCUAUAUGGCCCCUGGAUUGGACUGCGGCCGAUCAGGCUGUUGGUGAGGUAAUGGCCCACCAAACCUGUAACCGGUACGGGCUCUGAGAGGAGGAGCCCGGAGAUGGGCACUGAGACAAGGGCCCAGGCCCUAUGGGGCGCAGCAGGCGCGAAACCUCUGCAAUAGGCGAAGGCUUGACAGGGUUACUCUGAGUGAUUUCCGUUAAGGAGAUCUUUUGGCACCUCUAAAAAUGGUGCAGAAUAAGGGGUGGGCAAGUCUGGUGUCAGCCGCCGCGGUAAUACCAGCACCCCGAGUGGUCGGGACGUUUAUUGGGCCUAAAGCAUCCGUAGCCGGUUCUACAAGUCUUCCGUUAAAUCCACCUGCUUAACAGAUGGGCUGCGGAAGAUACUAUAGAGCUAGGAGGCGGGAGAGGCAAGCGGUACUCGAUGGGUAGGGGUAAAAUCCGUUGAUCCAUUGAAGACCACCAGUGGCGAAGGCGGCUUGCCAGAACGCGCUCGACGGUGAGGGAUGAAAGCUGGGGGAGCAAACCGGAUUAGAUACCCGGGUAGUCCCAGCUGUAAACGAUGCAGACUCGGUGAUGAGUUGGCUUAUUGCUAACUCAGUGCCGCAGGGAAGCCGUUAAGUUUGCCGCCUGGGGAGUACGGUCGCAAGACUGAAACUUAAAGGAAUUGGCGGGGGAGCACCACAAGGGGUGAAGCCUGCGGUUCAAUUGGAUUCAACGCCGGG